Molecule: signal recognition particle RNA, 265 nt
Filed under: Bacilli bacterium
Lineage: Bacteria; Bacillati; Bacillota; Bacilli
Description: signal recognition particle sRNA large type
Rfam family: Bacterial large signal recognition particle RNA
About the family: The signal recognition particle (SRP) is a universally conserved ribonucleoprotein involved in the co-translational targeting of proteins to membranes.
Source: RNAcentral
CCGUACUAGGUGGGGAGGUAGCGGUGCCCUGUAACUUGCAAUCCGCUGUAGCAAGGCUGAAUUCCCAUCCGAGGUGGGCAGUUUUACGGCUGCCUUAAGGGAGUAGUGUUGACGUCUAGAUCCUGCGCAACAAGAACCCAUGAACCCUGUCAGGUCCGGAAGGAAGCAGCAGUAAGUGGUCAUUCUUGUGUGCCGCAGGGCCACCUAGACCGAGCUAUGAACUUAAGUAACGCGUAGGACUGCUUCAUCGAAGAUGGGUGUACGG